AUUGAACGCUGGCGGCAUGCCUUACACAUGCAAGUCGAACGGCAGCACGGGAGCAAUCCUGGUGGCGAGUGGCGAACGGGUGAGUAAUAUAUCGGAACGUGCCCAGUCGUGGGGGAUAACGUAGCGAAAGCUACGCUAAUACCGCAUACGAUCUACGGAUGAAAGCGGGGGAUCGCAAGACCUCGCGCGAUUGGAGCGGCCGAUAUCAGAUUAGGUAGUUGGUGAGGUAAAGGGCUCACCAAGCCGACGAUCUGUAGCUGGUCUGAGAGGACGACCAGCCACACUGGGACUGAGACACGGCCCAGACUCCUACGGGAGGCAGCAGUGGGAAUUUUGGACAAUGGGCGCAAGCCUGAUCCAGCAAUGCCGCGUGCAGGAUGAAGGCC
This 386-nucleotide ribosomal RNA is filed under the name uncultured bacterium. Its description in RNAcentral is "bacterial SSU rRNA". It matches the Rfam family "Bacterial small subunit ribosomal RNA", at positions 29 to 416 of the family's 1533-position model. The record is from RNAcentral.